GACGAACGCUGGCGGCGUGCUUAACACAUGCAAGUCGAACGGAAAGGCCCUGCUUUUGUGGGGUGCUCGAGUGGCGAACGGGUGAGUAACACGUGAGUAACCUGCCCUUGACUUUGGGAUAACUUCAGGAAACUGGGGCUAAUACCGGAUAGGAGCUCCUGCUGCAUGGUGGGGGUUGGAAAGUUUCGGCGGUUGGGGAUGGACUCGCGGCUUAUCAGCUUGUUGGUGGGGUAGUGGCUUACCAAGGCUUUGACGGGUAGCCGGCCUGAGCGGGUGACCGGCAAAAUGGGGCUGGGGUACGGCCCAGGAUGCUCCGGGGGGGAAGAGGGGGGAAUAUUGCACAAAUGGGGGGAGCCUUGUGGAACAAACGCCGGGUGCGGAAGACGGCCCUUGGGGUUGAAACCCCUUUUGCCCUGGAACGAAGGGUAAUGAGGGGAAAUGGGAAAAAAAGAACGGGUAACCUCGGU
Molecule: ribosomal RNA, 467 nt
Filed under: uncultured bacterium
Lineage: Bacteria
Description: partial 16S ribosomal RNA
Rfam family: Bacterial small subunit ribosomal RNA
Source: RNAcentral